Molecule: ribosomal RNA, 248 nt
Filed under: uncultured bacterium
Lineage: Bacteria
Description: partial 16S ribosomal RNA
Rfam family: Bacterial small subunit ribosomal RNA
Source: RNAcentral
UGAGUAACACGUAUCCAACCUGCCGUCUACUCUUGGACAGCCUUCUGAAAGGAAGAUUAAUACAAGAUGGCAUCAUGAGUCCGCAUGUUCACAUGAUUAAAGGUAUUCCGGUAGACGAUGGGGAUGCGUUCCAUUAGAUAGUAGGCGGGGUAACGGCCCACCUAGUCGACGAUCGGUAGCCGGACUGAGAGGUUGAACGGCCACAUUGGGACUGAGACACGGCCCAGACUCCUACGGGAGGCAGCAUG